RNAcentral lists this ribosomal RNA (482 nucleotides) under uncultured bacterium. RNAcentral's name for it is "bacterial SSU rRNA". It matches the Rfam family "Bacterial small subunit ribosomal RNA", at positions 28 to 494 of the family's 1533-position model. The record is from RNAcentral.
GAUGAGCGCUAGCGACAGGCUUAACACAUGCAAGUCGAGGGGCAGCGGGGAUGAGAGCUUGCUCUUAUCUGCCGGCGACCGGCGCACGGGUGAGUAACACGUAUGCAACCUGCCCAUCGCAGGGGGAUAAGCAGAAGAAAUUCUGUCUAAUACCGCGUAACAUCUCGCGAAGGCAUCUUAGUGAGAUCAAAGGAAGCAAUUCCGGCGAUGGAUGGGCAUGCGGCGCAUUAGCUAGUUGGCGGGGUAACGGCCCACCAAGGCGACGAUGCGUAGGGGUUCUGAGAGGAAGGUCCCCCACACUGGUACUGAGACACGGACCAGACUCCUACGGGAGGCAGCAGUGAGGAAUAUUGGUCAAUGGGCGAGAGCCUGAACCAGCCAAGUCGCGUGAGGGAAGACGGUCCUAUGGAUUGUAAACCUCUUUUGUCGGGGAGCAACGAAGGCACGCGUGCCUGAAGCGAGAUUACCCGAAGAAAAGCAUC